UGUCUUCUCUGAUGUAUAUUAUAUCAAACGGGUGACACGGCAUCUUCACCUCCACGUCUUUCAAUCCUGAAUUGAUGAAUAUUUUUACACUUUUUUCAAAGAGGUAAGUAAAUGCCAAUCUUUCAUCCGGCAGGACGCAACAUCCGCAAAUCGUAUUUCCUUGAGUGUCGAUGGACUUGUGUAUCGUUAGCUUUAUAUUUUCUAUAGAUUUUGUUGGAACGAUUGGAAUCAUCAAUUGGGCUUGUCUGGCCUUCUUCUUGAUCAGAACUAUGUCGCAUGGAUUAGAUUCAAUACGCACUUCCCCAAAACUUCUGAUAUCGGAUAUGAUAUUCUGGAUAGAGGUGUUGAUCUGAUAUGAAAGAGUAUGCUGUUCCUUGCCUUCUACAAGAGCCUGCAAUUUUUUUUCUUUGCUAUAAACGUCCUCUUCUAUUUGCUUAAUUGAGAGAAACAUUUGAAGAUCUGUUGCGUGUUUCUUAAUGUUCAAUAGGCUAUUUUGGCAUUCUCCUAUUUCUUUUUCUUUCUUUUCUAGCGACAACAAUAGCUGACAUAUUUUAGAGUUUUCUUUUUCUUCGAGCUCGUUGAGUUGUUUCAUUAAAUCUUCUUGUAGUUUGUCGAGAUGGUUGUUGAUUUGUAUUCUGGACUUCUUGAUUUCUUUUUCAAUUUCCUUUCUCUUUUCUUUAAAUUUCGACAGGUUGACUUGUUCAUGCUGGCGAAUCUUCUUUAGAUUUUCUGCUAUCUCAACUAAUGAUUUCUCUAUCUCGCACAUAGCAUUGGAGGAUUUGGCGUUACGAAUGAUAUUCUCUAUUUCGACAAUUUCCCGGCACUCUUUGUGACAUUCCACG
Molecule: long non-coding RNA, 842 nt
Filed under: Mytilus galloprovincialis (Mediterranean mussel)
Lineage: Eukaryota; Metazoa; Mollusca; Bivalvia; Mytilida; Mytilidae
Source: RNAcentral